GGUGAACGCUGGCGGUAGGCCUAACGCAUGCAAGUCGAACGGCAGCACAGUAAGAGCUUGCUCUUACGGGUGGCGAGUGGCGGACGGGUGAGGAAUACAUCGGAAUCUACUUUUUCGUGGGGGAUAACGUAGGGAAACUUACGCUAAUACCGCAUACGACCUACGGGUGAAAGCAGGGGAUCUUCGGACCUUGCGCGAUUGAAUGAGCCGACGUCGGAUUAGCUAGUUGGCGGGGUAAAGGCCCACCAAGGCGACGAUCCGUAGCUGGUCUGAGAGGAUGAUCAGCCACACUGGAACUGAGACACGGUCCAGACUCCUACGGGAGGCAGCAGUGGGGAAUAUUGGACAAUGGGCGCAAGCCUGAUCCAGCCAUACCGCGUGGGUGAAGAAGGCCUUCGGGUUGUAAAGCCCUUUUGUUGGGAAAGAAAAGCAGCAGGUUAAUACCCCGCUGUUCUGACGGUACCCAAAGAAUAAGCACCGGCUAACUUCGUG
This 492-nucleotide ribosomal RNA is filed under the name uncultured bacterium. Its description in RNAcentral is "partial 16S ribosomal RNA". It matches the Rfam family "Bacterial small subunit ribosomal RNA", at positions 28 to 507 of the family's 1533-position model. The record is from RNAcentral.